RNAcentral lists this long non-coding RNA (876 nucleotides) under Zonotrichia albicollis (white-throated sparrow). Its description in RNAcentral is "lncRNA (ENSZALG00000016176.1)". The record is from RNAcentral. Lineage: Eukaryota; Metazoa; Chordata; Aves; Passeriformes; Passerellidae.
CAGCAAUCUGACACAGCAGCUCUUUGGGGAAUUAAGGCACAAUUCACAAUUGGGGUGAUGGGUUUGUCACGUGGUGCUGAUGCAGUUGUUGCCCUGAAGAGUAAAGCUUGGGUUUCUUUUUCUGCAGAUGCAGUUUCCACAUCGAUGCAAUGGAUGCUGCUGAGGAGGAACCACCUCAGUUUGGUCUUUGUAAACUGCUGCUGCUCAGCCUGCAUGGACAGUUCUGGCAGUGCACUUGAAUAAGGCUGCAAAGCUCGGAGAAUAAAUCCCAGCAGAGCCGCAGUACAGCCGCUGUUCAGGAGGAGAUCCGGGAUGUUAAAGAAGCAUAAAUACAUAUUCAAAUACACGUUUAAAAGGAUGGCACCCUCGUGUUUAUCAGGGGAAAGGACACUUGGAGCACCUGUACCGAAAGGGAGAAGGUGAAGAAGCCUGUGAGCAUUCCCUGCCUCCUCUGAUCUUAUGCAGAUUCUAAACACAAGUCUGAACGCAAGCUCGAUGGCAACUCUCUGCUCCGGCUGCCAGGGCUGCAGCUCCAGCCGCUCCUCUCCGUCCUCCACCUUCUUUUUCCAAAGUAACAAAGCCAUUGGAUUUCCUCCCACCCCUUCCCUGCGCCUCCCCUCCCCCUCGCUGGCACCGGGGUUAUUUAUACAGAAUGUGGAAACAAUUUGCAGGAAAGUGAACAAUGUAAGCGGGAGCGAGGGAAGGGAGGCGAGUUUGCAGAGCACGCUGAGAGCCCCAGCGGUGGAACGCUGCUUUUGGGGGAGCACGGGGAGCAGGAUGUUUUCCUUUCUUCCUUCUCCCCUCUCCCACCAUCUCCCUGAGCUCCUUCCAUCCUGCUGGAGUCGAGGCCAAACCAGAGCAACGAGAUCUGAGUGA